CAAGAGAACGGUUCUCUGAAAGUGUCUUUGUGAGGGACCGAAGACCCCUGUUACUCGUAGAGCUACAGGUAAGGCAAACUAAUUUUUCAGAGAAUACAAACCAUAGACAAUAAGACCCCAUAAAAUCUUCACUGUGGAGGAACCAUUGUGAUGGGGUGGGGGUAACUGUGAAGGGAAGAGAAAUACCCAGAAGUAACAAGAACCUGUUCAUCAAAAGAAGGAGGCCUAUGAGGUAGACGGUGUUAUUACCUCCAUGUUCCUUAUGAGGAGACUAAAAGCACAGCAAGCUUAUGUACACGGCCGUCGUGGAAGGAAAGGA
Molecule: long non-coding RNA, 319 nt
Organism: Galeopterus variegatus (Sunda flying lemur)
Lineage: Eukaryota; Metazoa; Chordata; Mammalia; Dermoptera; Cynocephalidae
Exons: 3
Source: RefSeq, a predicted model, not a curated record